UCUUUUCUAUACACCCUACAACAUAGUACUCUUAGAGGAGAAAGGUAUUUUUUUGUGUGAACACAUUGAUUUUAUUCUUAGUUUUUACUGGGAACUUUAUUACUUUGCCUUUCCCUUUUGGAAAAGGUAAUAUUCACCAAGACCCAUAAGCUGGAAUUGAAGUAAUCACAAAAGAUCCUAAUUUUAGGAACAUUUGAAAUAAUCUAUUUCCUGAUUUUCCUGGAAUUCUUAUGAGAAGACCUGUGGUAUCAACUUUAUGCAAAGGGUCCAGAGUUCUAUCCACCGUGCCACCUACCUGCCUCGAUAAACUUAUUUAUGUGAAAAUAAUUACUGUGUGACUUCCAUAUGCAAAGCACCAGACAGGGUACUAUGGCUGAUAAAAUUGUGAAAAAGACUGCUUGUCUGUACAGGCAGAGAAUUGUGCUAAAAUCUUGAAUAAAAGGGACUAAAGAUC
Antechinus flavipes (yellow-footed antechinus) is the source of this 454-nucleotide long non-coding RNA. RefSeq lists it as uncharacterized. NCBI's taxonomy places the organism in Eukaryota, Metazoa, Chordata, Mammalia, Dasyuromorphia, Dasyuridae. The record is from RefSeq and is a predicted model, not a curated record. The transcript has 2 exons.